GUACUUGUUUUGACAGUACAUGUGCUAAAAUUAGAAUGAUACAGGGAAGAUUAGCAUGGCCCCUGGGCUAGGAAGACAGACAAAUUCUUGAAGUGUUCCUAAAGAAA
This 107-nucleotide small nuclear RNA is filed under the name Mustela putorius furo (domestic ferret). The record is from RNAcentral. Lineage: Eukaryota; Metazoa; Chordata; Mammalia; Carnivora; Mustelidae.